This 72-nucleotide transfer RNA is filed under the name Candidatus Methanoperedens sp. RNAcentral describes it as "tRNA-Thr". It matches the Rfam family "tRNA". Rfam says of the family: Transfer RNA (tRNA) molecules are approximately 80 nucleotides in length. Lineage: Archaea; Methanobacteriati; Methanobacteriota; Methanomicrobia; Methanosarcinales; Candidatus Methanoperedentaceae. The record is from RNAcentral.
GCCUCGGUGGAGUAGGGGUCUAGCGCGUCCUUGGUAAGGACGAGGUCGAGGGUUCAAAUCCCUCCCGGGGCU